This 301-nucleotide unclassified non-coding RNA is filed under the name uncultured Diversispora. RNAcentral's name for it is "bacterial SSU rRNA". It matches the Rfam family "Eukaryotic small subunit ribosomal RNA", at positions 569 to 877 of the family's 1831-position model. The record is from RNAcentral. Lineage: Eukaryota; Fungi; Glomeromycota; Glomeromycetes; Diversisporales; Diversisporaceae.
CGCAGCCGCAGUAAUUCCAGCUCCAAUAGCGUAUAUUAAAGUUGUUGCAGUUAAAAAGCUCGUAGUUGAAUUUCGGAAUCAGUACGCCAGUCAUGCUUCGGUAUGUACUAGUGUCACUGAUUCCUUCCUUCUGACGAACCGUCAUGCCAUUAAUUUAGUGUGAUGUGGAAUCAGGACUGUUACUUUAGAAAAAUUGAGUGUUUAAAGAGGCUCGCGCUUGAAUACAUUAGCAUGGAAUAAUGAAAUAGGACGUUUGAUCUUAUUUUGUUGGUUUCUAGGAUCGAUGUAAUGAUUAAUAGGG